AUUGCGGGCUAAUUAAGCCAGCAGUUUGCCACUUGCUGUUUAUUACUCGUCUACCAUGCGCAUUUACUAACAAUGCUGUUAACAUAUCUGUAGACUCAUGCUUCUACAACUCACAUACGGUAAAUGGACUAAAACAAGCUCACCUGCCAACCUGUGGUUUCAGGAGAGUUCGUUAGCCUUUAAUCAAAUGGCCUCAAAACUUUGAGCUGGAAGCCGCGUUUUCUGGCUAUGAAGUCUGCAGCGCCAGACCAAGUCCGAGAUCGCUGCUUCAGGUCAUCAAGAAAUCUGACAGGUGGCUGGUGAAGGGGAACAAAGCGAGCCUCACACUGAGGACAGGGACAUACUGUGACAUUUUGUGUGUUCUGUGAAAGGCAGGAGGAGCUCUUUGAGAGCUUCUAGUUUUUUGCCACUUGUUGGCAAGAAGACCGUGUCAGUCCUCUUGGUUAGCUAACUCAGGUAUCCAUAUUGACAGUGUUAGACCAUCUGGUUGGGCAGUCGCUGAGGAGAAACCACAUACUUCCUGCAGCUUCUCUGUAAAUUUGAGGAGUUUCAAAACAAUAGUUCUUGCUUCGUCUUGCAGUCUUUUACAUUGGCCUCCUCCUUGUGAGGCUCACAACUUGCUUUAGCUCAAAUUUACCCUAUAGCCUAUUUGUUUCUGUAAUGAAUGAAAAGCCAAAUGUCAGGCGGCUUUUGGCCAGGGAGCCUGGCAUCGUUUCAUUACAAACCGGAGGAUUCAUUAUGUACGCUGAUUGAGUUUUUGGCACCAUUGAAUUUUACAUGAUGAUACAGUUAAUCCACCAUAGUGUGCAAAUGUCUGUCAAUCACUGGGUGAGGGAAAAAUUUGGCUUAUGAAUGGGUCGCAAAUUUGGCAACUGGAUCUGCUAGUACAUAAAGAUUAUUCCAUUGUGGUGAUAUUGAGAAAAACAUGAUUUAGUCACUUAUUUAUUUUGUCACAUUGUCAUCAGCCAUUACUGAGAAAAAACGGUUUUAGUCAGUUUUCAUUAUUGUUAUUUCUCCCAUUUACUAGUAAGUGAAUUUUAUUAAUAUAUCCCCAAAUCACAAACUAAAUUACUUCUUCUUAAAGAAUGAUGCAGUUUUGGUGUGAGAACAGGGGCAAUCACUGGCAACAAGUGUACCUGGAGUAAAUGAACAAUGUUAAGUGCACAGGCCAAAGGCAAGAUUUCAACUAAAGGUUAGGCAAGUUAAAUUUGAGAGGAAAAUGGCAAACUGUCUUUCAAGAAGAACCACUGACUUCAAUUAAAGCAACUUGUGUUA
This is a long non-coding RNA of Micropterus salmoides (largemouth bass), 1275 nucleotides long. RefSeq lists it as uncharacterized. Lineage: Eukaryota; Metazoa; Chordata; Actinopteri; Centrarchiformes; Centrarchidae. The transcript has 2 exons. The record is from RefSeq and is a predicted model, not a curated record.